AUCUUGUCAACUUUUUGAGAUAAUCGGCGAACAAGUUUUCAUAGAAUGCGGACGCGGACCCGAACGCGAACGCGAACGACGCCAUACGCACAUCGCUAUUUUGCACAUUUUUCAUAGUAAACAACAUGUUUUUGGAGGCAGAUAGGUCUUGAUCGAUAGGAUUUGUUCCCAUCUACAUUGCCUAGUGUACAGAUAUGUGAUUUUUGAAGUUUGGCGUGACGUUAUAGUGGUCCGAAAGAGGAGAUGUCAUGAAAUUUUGGCUAGUAAAACUAAUACUUUACCUAACAAACAAAGUUUGCGGAAAAGUAAUUAUUCUUUCCCAAGCGGACGCAAUCUAUAGUGUGCAGUGAGUGACGGGAAGCCUGAGAGUAGGAUUCAACAUUGGUUUUGUAAUAAAGUCAUAAAUUAAAAUUCAUAUUGAUAUUUCGGAUCUGUAUAUACGCUGGUAUUUUUUGAGUGAAAAAGCAGAAAAAUAGAAGACAUCAUGCAUUCCAUCCUUCAGCGCCUGCGUACGACUCAUGCAAUUUUAAAAAUUCUAUGUUUGCUAUUUGCAUUCAUUACUUUCAUCUGCUUAAAAUUGAGUUCUUAUGGUGCAUUGCCUUCGAUUGAGUUCUAUUGGAUUAUGGCACUCAUCGUAAUGAUAAUUACACUUGUUUUCUUACUUGUCUAUCUAUUCACGAUUGAGAAGGCAAUACGAUUAAAUUGGGUGGAAAUUGAACUAAUUUUCGCCGGUAUAGCAUCACUGAUUUUCAUGUCAAUUUCAUCAUUAUUUGUAAAUAUUGAAUACGUCUUAUAUAAUGGUGCCGAUAUUCGAAAAAUAUCAACCGCUAUUCGAAUAGUAUCAGCUUGCUUUGGAUAUUUAGCAGUGAUAACAUUUGCUGUUGAGGCUUAUUUGAAACACAGGCAAGCAGUUUCAUCGAGGGUCUCUACAGUCACAAGUGCUUAGUCCGCAUAGUUUACUUUACUAGCAUUCAAAAAAUAUGACGAGACGAUGUUCGUUUGUGUUCACAGUUGUUUGCGGAGAAUAAAUUACCUUCAGUCAUUUUGUGUUUAUAACCAUAGACGUCAUGCUUUCCAUUCUUAUACGUUUACGCUCGAUUCCAGCCCUAUUGAAAAUCCUGUGCAUGAUUUUCGAGCUCAUUGCAUUCAUUUGUACGGUAGUGAGUGAAAAAAGUGUAGGAACAGUAGAGACUGCUUGUUUCAUUGCUGGUAUUGUGGUAUUCGGAAUUACAACACUUUUCGUGUUUCUGUUUCUAUUCCGAAUCGAUGAUUUUGUCACAUUGAACUGGGCAAAAAUCGAAAUGGUUUUUGCCUUAAUUGCAUCAUACACUUUUCUGCUGAUUUCAACGCUCAUCGUCCGAUACACCGACGAAUUUUUGAUUACAGCAUCGAUUUGUGGAUAUUUGGCAACGUUCACGCUUUUCUUGGAUAUGUGUCUAAUGUAUAGACUUGUUGUUUCUGGCGUAAACGCUUGGGGAAAAUAUUGAACCUAGUAUCAGUUUUCUUGAAAAAAUGUUUUUUUUUUAAAUUCAUGGAACCAAGGGGAGAUUCACGAGCAAUCGCACUCGCAAAACUCGCAAAAACUCGCAAAAAGGCGUAAAAAUUUGAAGUAGAUAUUUUCUUCAUUUUUUACCUUUUUUAAGCUAUAUAUCAGUUUAUAAAACUUGUCAGUCGAUCAAAAAUAUGAUUUUGAAUAAUUAAAUUAAUAUGUAAUAGGAAGCUCAAUGAAAAAUUGCAUUUUAUUGAUAUUUUUAAAAAAUUGUUCGAAUUAGAAAACUCACAAAAACUCGCAAAAACUCACACUUCUUUGUUUUCGUGAAUCGCCCCUUGCAUGGAACAAAUAUACAAAUCAUGAUUUUCGAUGUAAAUAACAAGCCCAGUGAAUGAACUCACUAUUAAAUUCUAACUUAUGGUAAAUAAUAAAUUGCACUGGAAAUGUCAA
Molecule: long non-coding RNA, 1942 nt
Organism: Sitodiplosis mosellana (orange wheat blossom midge)
Lineage: Eukaryota; Metazoa; Arthropoda; Insecta; Diptera; Cecidomyiidae
Exons: 6
Source: RefSeq, a predicted model, not a curated record